GUGAAAAUUCAUGUGGGAAUUUUGAAGCUUCCUUAUGUGUUUUGUGUGUUGGUGAGAAUUUAGGUGUAACUUGUGGGAUACAAAAGGAAGAAGUUUGUUGGGGAGCUGUAAAGUAUGUAUAGGCCUGGGGCUGCAACCCCAAAUCGUGGUGGACUGCCUAUGGAUAGUGGAGAUUCUGUGGUGACAUUGGAUCAAGUUCCCCGUUGGAGUGAUGGGGAGUAUAGAUAUGCAUAUGAGAAUGAAGAUGGGCCUUUUCCAAAUUCUUAUUUUGCUGACCCUUUGACAUCUGCAUCUGAGGCUGGGAGUAGUGGAAAUGGAAUGGUUUCUAGGUUUCCUGUCGAUCAUGAAAUUAACUCAAAGAUAUAUUUGUGGAGAGGGAAUCCUUGGAAUCUUGAGGUGGAUGCAGUUGUAAACUCGACUAACGAGGUAAACUUUGAUUACUUGCCCAGGUACUUUUUCUGUGGCACGAUGAAUGAUUCCUAUCAUUGUGUUAUGAUAAAAGAUUUUUGGUGCAUAUUGCUUUGUAUGAUCUAUCAAUUAAAGGAUGGAAAAAACACUGUUCAUUCUCAUCAUAUAGGGACCAGGAAAUUAUCAAUCCAAUUUUUAGGUUUGAGUCCUGGCUUUUUUUUGUACCUAAAGCAUAUUGUGAAUGUCUCCUUCAUUUUCCAGCUUUAUUAAUCCUUUAUCUGAUCGAAAAUGUUGCACUCGCUUGUUUCUGUUUUUGUUGCUGAAGUUUGAAUUGGGUUUUGGAAAUUUAAUUUUCUCACAUAAAUAAAUUUUGGAAAUUUGUUGUCUCUUACUAUUAGCUUGUGUAUAAAUUUUGCUGGUUUCUUUUUACUAGAUGUUGCAAGAAUGGAUAUUCUUCUGGGUACUAUUGCCAUGGCUUUUGCAUUGUUGUUGGAGUUUCUGUUAACGAGAUCUUUGACCCCACACAUGCUGUUGAAUUCAUACCUGCCAAAACUCAUAACACGUAUAUUAAUUUACAAAGUAAUGAUUCAAGAUACAUCUUGGACUCAUGUAUCCAUCAUUCAAGUAAAACCUUGGGCAAUGUGAUUUUGUUUCCUCUGGAAUGGAUACCCAAGGCUAUUCUGCUGCUGUAACCUGGGGAGUGCGAAUCCAUUAUUGCUCUUGUCAUGUUAUAUUGCAUCAAAGAAGAUGUGAAAAUUAUUCAUUGCAACAUUUGAGAGUAACUACUUAAGCACAUUACUAUGGUUAUGUUGCAUCUGACAUCAUGUGCUCAUAUGUGGUUGGCAGAACUUGGAUGAAGCACAUAGCAGCCCAGGGUUGCAUGCUGCAGCUGGACCUGGUCUUGCAGAAGAAUGUGCAACUUUGGUGAGUUUUACUUGUAUACAUGUCUCUGUGUGCAUUAAUUUUUUGUGCUGCAUAAGCAUGUUAUUGGUUCUUUUUGAUGGUCUAUUAUGCAGAUCUUUUAGUACAAAUUUUUUUCAUUUUUUGUAAAUAAAUUUAUCUGCCUCAUUCUAGGGUGGCUGUCGAACAGGAAUGGCAAAAGUUACCAAUGCAUACGAUCUUCCUGCAAGGUGGGGUUAUCAGUUGUUUCACUAGAACAAAUCAAUGUACUUCUGUAUAGCUGCAAAGAGGAAAGCCUUGUGCCACUAAUGCUUCAGUCGCUAAUUGUUUUUAUUGUGACACUUCACAGGAGGAUUAUACAUACUGUUGGUCCCAAGUAUGCAGUAAAGUAUCACACUGCUGCAGAGAAUGCGCUGAGUCACUGCUACAGGUCUUGUCUUGAACUUCUCAUUGAAAAUGGACUGCAAAGGUUGGUAGCAUAGUUAUUUUCACUUUCUUUUCUAGCUUAUCUAUUGGGUGUUAUUCAUUUAUGUGGAACUUAUCUAUCUGCAUUAAAAUGUGAGUGCAGUAUUGCUGUGGGCUGUAUAUAUACAGAAGCCAAAAAUUAUCCACGAGAACCAGCUGCACAUGUUGCAAUAAGUAAGAUACUUUUUACACCAUUCAGAUUUCAUUAUUCAGGCAUUUUAAUACCUUAAGUGCAGAGAUUUUCUUGGAGUGGCAUUUGAAUCACAUGCGUGGAAUACCCCAUGUUUUAAGAGUUCUAUCCUCAUUCCUCAGCAGCUGGAAAACAAAUGAAAUUAAUAAAUUUGUUUACGGAUCGUAUUACUGAAUUUGCUUGACGUCAGGGUGAUUGGGAUGAACUUAUUACUGUUCCUUCAAUUUUUUGUUUGCUUUUUUCAUUAGGAACUGUGAGACGGUUUCUUGAGAAGCAGAAAGAUAAAAUCAACGCCGUUGUAUUCUGUACAGCUACAUCAACUGAUACUGAGAUAUAUAAAAGGUAUUCUUAGAGACCUGUCUUUAGAUAGUGUUGUUACUAACUUUGUUGACAUUGUGUAAUGCAGUGUACUGGCAAUGCUUGCUGUGGUCAAUUGGCAUGUCCUAUUCAUGUUCCGAAUAUUGGGAAUUUUAAACCCUUCUACCAUUUGCACGCAGAUUGCUUCCACUUUAUUUUCCACGUGACAAACAGGAAGAGGAGAUAGCUAUUUCAAAACUACCUGCAGAUGUUGGCGAUGAAAAUGGUGAGACAGUUAUAGAUGAGCGAAAAAUCAGAAUAAAGUCUCUGCCCAAUGUGAAGAAGAGUAUUCCAAAACCUCCACAACCUUCCAAUGAUCUCCCUGUCAGUGAUCUUGGGUUGACAAGGAGGUUGGCUUACUAUGUCAUUCUUCUUCUUCUCCUUGCUCUUCUUUUUCUUUACUUUUUCCCCCCAUGUCAGUCUCUAAGCUAAGAUGAGCUCAAUGAACAUCUUGUGCUGGCAGGAUAAUACUGUAUUUGCAUUUUGAAUUUUCUCACUCCUGGUACCUUGGUGUGGAUGCUGCAUUUAUCUGUCUUAUCUAAUACUCCUUUUUGCUGUUCCUUCAAUAGGAGUUCUUCAUAUUUGGAUUCAUACUUGGAUCCUGCCUUUAUGUCGUUGAUAAAGGACCCAGACCAGCGACGUAAAGAACAGUGGGAAAAAACUGCUCAAGCUCAGAGUGGUUGGAACUGUUGUAAAAUGCUUGGAUAUGGUGACCUCGGGGGACCUCCUUUAUCUGCUGCAGAAGAAUAUUCUCUCCAUUCCCGAUACCUUGCAAAAGCAAAUUCUCUCAAUCUUUCUGAAAUUG
This 3125-nucleotide long non-coding RNA is filed under the name Coffea arabica (coffee). RNAcentral's name for it is "long non-coding RNA (CARA_LNC007965)". Lineage: Eukaryota; Viridiplantae; Streptophyta; Magnoliopsida; Gentianales; Rubiaceae. The record is from RNAcentral.